AGAAUCAACGCUGGCGGCGUGCCUAACACAUGCAAGUCGCACGAGAAAGGGGCUUCGGCUCUGAGUAAAGUGGCGCACGGGUGAGUAACACGUGACUAACCUACCCUUGAGUGGGGGAUAACUGAGGGAAACCUUAGCUAAUACCGCAUAAUACCCACGGGUCAAAGGAGCAAUUCGCUCGAGGAGGGGUCGCGGCCGAUUAGUUAGUUGGCGGGGUAAUGGCCCACCAAGACGAUGAUCGGUA
Molecule: ribosomal RNA, 244 nt
Filed under: uncultured bacterium
Lineage: Bacteria
Description: partial small subunit ribosomal RNA
Rfam family: Bacterial small subunit ribosomal RNA
Source: RNAcentral